UACAGAGGGGGCAAGCGUUGUUCGGAAUUACUGGGCGUAAAGGGCGCGUAGGCGGCCUUCUAAGUCGCACGUGAAAUCCCCGGGCUCAACCCGGGAACUGCGUCCGAUACUGGAAGGCUUGAAUCCGGGAGAGGGAUGUGGAAUUCCAGGUGUAGCGGUGAAAUGCGUAGAUAUCUGGAGGAACACCGGAGGCGAAAGCGGGCCACUGGGCAACUUCUGACGCUGAGGUGCGAAAGCUAGGGUAGCAAACGGG
This 253-nucleotide ribosomal RNA is filed under the name uncultured bacterium. Its description in RNAcentral is "partial 16S ribosomal RNA". It matches the Rfam family "Bacterial small subunit ribosomal RNA", at positions 524 to 776 of the family's 1533-position model. The record is from RNAcentral.